CCCCUCGUUUUUCAUUUUAAUCUCUGUCAAAAACAUAGAAGAAAUGGUACAAAACAAUUUGCCAGAGUUUUUUUUUAGAAAGUUUUAAAUGAGCCCAGAUGUGAUGGGAGACACCUGAGGGUGUCGCUACCUCACUCAUUGGUCGCUACACCCAUGGUGCAGAGGGUAUAAACCGGAAGUUGAUGUGUGGUUGCCAUGGUGCUAGCUUCCUGUGAGAGAGCUGGUUGGCUCAGGGAGCAGCGUAGUUGGCUCGAGCUGAUAGUGCGGGGUCGCCACAGCGAAACAACCCUCCCUCAAGGAUGAGUCGCAUGCUAGACUUGGCAAUGGUUUUACGCCGGAUGCCCUUCCUGAUGCAACCUUCUCAAGUUAUCCGGGCUUUGGACCGGCACAGCAGCAGAGAAGGGAACAAGGAGCAGCCCGGACUCGAACCCUGGUUCCACGGACGGAAGGCGCCGCAAACCAGCACGAGCUGAACCGGCCCCCAGUGUCAUCGCUAUGGUCCAGAGCUCCGCCUCUAAAGGAAGUUCAGCAGGAAGUGAUGGGGAUGGUGACGGACAGAUGAGUGGGAUCACUUUGAGCUUCUCCUGAAGGUUUUCCCUGUUUCUAAAUGUUUCUCUGUUUUUAUCAGAUUGUUUUUUUUAUCCAUAUUUUGUAUUAUUAUCAAAGUUUGAUUGUGUGUUGGUUUGUGCGCAUGUGUGUGCAUGAACUGUAGUUGUGUUGAUGUUGACAUGUUGCAUCUGAAGCUUUUUGGAGUCAACAGGUAUGUGUGUGGACAGGCCCCGCCCCUUGUGACUAACAUUUACACCAGACAGUAAUGAUGAUGAACCUCCAGCAUCUUGUUGCUGAAUGAUUGUACCCCCCCCCCCCGCUGUAAUCAUCCUCCAGGUCUCCUUAACCCCCCCAUUCUCCCCCUUUCUUUGUGUCCCUACCCCCCCCUCUCCAACAUCCCUCCCUUCUUUCCUCUUGUUCUUUUCCGUCCAACAAAAAGGAGACUAAUGUCAUUAAUAUAAAACAAAUGAAGUUUUGUCUAAAUGACAGAGGAGUUUAUUCAAAUACACUCCUAUUGUGUCCAGGGAUCCAGAAUCCCUGUUGAAACAGUAACAUCUGUGGAACAAAGAGGCCUUCAGCUCCUGUCUGCUCAGCUGUUAGACAGGUUCAGUAAAUAAAUAAAAAUAAAAACCUGCGUGAAUAAAGCGGAUCGUCCGUCUCACCGAAGCUCUCCCCUCUGCGGCCUUCUGUGCCGGUUUCAGCGUCACCAUGGCAACGUGAAGAAUGCAGCGGCGCAGGAAGGCGCUUGGAGACGCGGCGUUAUCAUGAUGCAGAGAGGAUGGUGAUCCUGUGAACCCCCCCCCACACAUACACUUGUGGGUAAUGGAUUUUAUCAGGCGAGAGCACGGGGCGAGUUUUGACGAGUCCCUGGGCUGCUCUGCUAUUCCUUUUGAAAUCGGUUUCUUCAGCGUCUUGUUGGAGUAGCCUGAGGCCAUGGCCCUCCGAGAUCACAAUGUUGUUAAUACAAACAUGUCAAACGCACACCCAGCUGCUGCACAGAGGUGCCGGGAUGUCAAGGUGUCAGCGUCCUGAAGUGUGAGUUACGCUUUAACAUCCUAAGCGCCGCACUGACGGAUGCGCCGCCGCUUUAAUUUUUUAACAUGACGCCGCCAACAAGAGCCGCCGAGGGGAGGGGGUGACGGCCGCCGCUCCUGCUUUGGUCUGAACUUUGGAGGAGCCCCCUGCAGGAUUCAUGACCGCCCCGCCAAGCGUAAGCCCCACCCCCCAAAGGCUGAAAGAGCAAACAGGAAACCUGGUCCCAUUCUGAGCUGCAGCCAGGGGCGGUUCUACACUAACUGACUCCCCGGGCAAGUGACCCCCCACACACGCACAACUCCAUGACAUCCUUUUAUGUUCCGUAUUUUGAUUUGGUCAUUUUCCCCAAAUGCAUGAAUUUCAUUAAAUGGUACUACAGGGGGGUCAAACUCAGUCCCACUGGGGGCCUAAAUCCAGAACACGCUUUAGGUUUUGGGCCGAACAAGAAAAACAUUUACUGAACACGCUAAAGCUAAACUUUUACACCUUUGAAACUGAACUUUUUGAACAUA
Long non-coding RNA from Oryzias latipes (Japanese medaka), 2096 nucleotides. RefSeq lists it as uncharacterized. The record is from RefSeq and is a predicted model, not a curated record. NCBI's taxonomy places the organism in Eukaryota, Metazoa, Chordata, Actinopteri, Beloniformes, Adrianichthyidae.